This 301-nucleotide ribosomal RNA is filed under the name uncultured bacterium. RNAcentral describes it as "partial 16S ribosomal RNA". It matches the Rfam family "Bacterial small subunit ribosomal RNA", at positions 509 to 807 of the family's 1533-position model. The record is from RNAcentral.
CAGUCGCCGCGGGAAUACGGAGGAUCCAAGCGUUAUCCGGAAUCAUUGGGUUUAAAGGGUCCGUAGGCGGUCUUGUAAGUCAGUGGUGAAAGCCCAUCGCUCAACGGUGGAACGGCCAUUGAUACUGCAGGACUUGAAUUAUUGGGAAGUAACUAGAAUAUGUAGUGUAGCGGUGAAAUGCUUAGAGAUUACAUGGAAUACCAAUUGCGAAGGCAGGUUACUACCAAUUGAUUGACGCUGAUGGACGAAAGCGUGGGUAGCAAACAGGAUUAGAUACCCCUGUAGUCCCUGUCUCUUAUAC